Long non-coding RNA from Sander lucioperca (pikeperch), 581 nucleotides. RefSeq lists it as uncharacterized. The transcript has 3 exons. Lineage: Eukaryota; Metazoa; Chordata; Actinopteri; Perciformes; Percidae. The record is from RefSeq and is a predicted model, not a curated record.
AGGAUAAACUUUAUUUCCCAGUGCAAGUGGACAUUAAAUGACUGCACUCGUCUUCUGCAGACAGAUGAUGCUGGGCCUGCUGUGUUGGAAUCCACAUUAACAAGCCAGUUUAUCUUACCAGGCUCCACUGGCUUGGACUGGUGCUAGAGGUCCACCUCACUUUUCCAUCUCUCCAGAGCAACUGUCGUUCCUAAAGUCAUGUGGAUUUACAGUGUCACAGACUGCAGAUAUUCUGCAUGUUUCUCCAGCUACAGUCAAACGACGUUUCAGAAGAGGAGAUGGAUAUUUCCUUCGAGGAGUUGCUGGUGUUUGUGACAGGGGCUGAUUCUGUCCCCCCUCUUGGGUUCCCGCAGAAAUGCCAGCUUGACUUCUAUAAUCAGGAGGAUGGGAGCUGCCGCAUUCCUUAUUCAUCAACAUGUAGCCUUUGCCUCUUCCUUCCGAGAGGGGUUACAGAAGAAGAGGAGUUCAGAAGACUUAUGUUCCUUGCCCUGAAAGGGUCUCUUGGUUUUGGGAAGGUGUGAGGUAGAACAAAGUGUUCAUUUCAUGAGAAGUAGGCAUUGGAUUGUUUACACCAAUAAAAU